RNAcentral lists this small RNA (223 nucleotides) under Mycobacterium riyadhense. Its description in RNAcentral is "c-di-AMP sequence". It matches the Rfam family "c-di-AMP riboswitch aptamer (ydaO/yuaA leader)". From Rfam's summary of the family: This family represents a conserved RNA structure found upstream of the ydaO and yuaA genes in Bacillus subtilis and related genes in other bacteria. The ydaO/yuaA element is thought to act as a genetic "off" switch for the ydaO and yuaA genes in its native state. It is believed that the element may be triggered during osmotic shock leading to activation of ydaO, a predicted amino acid transporter gene, and members of the yuaA-yubG operon which code for KtrA and KtrB K+ transporters. The record is from RNAcentral. Lineage: Bacteria; Bacillati; Actinomycetota; Actinomycetes; Mycobacteriales; Mycobacteriaceae.
CCCUAUAACGCGCCGAGCUCCAUCCGAUAGGCAGAGGGAUUCCAACCGCGGAUGGAGGCGGGGGACCCACCAGGUCCGCCGAGAUCGGACCGGGGCCAGCCAUGGCCCCUUGGGGUGAAGCCGAAGUCGUUCACCGAAGUACGACGUUGGCCGGGUGACCUCUCUAGUUCGAAUCCAACCCGAACCCGACAGCUGACCUCGUAGGCGUGUACAGAGAGGAAUU